Molecule: long non-coding RNA, 1054 nt
Filed under: Homo sapiens (human)
Lineage: Eukaryota; Metazoa; Chordata; Mammalia; Primates; Hominidae
Description: HSALNT0403445
Source: RNAcentral
ACAGAAAUCAACCUGUCUUGCGGCCACCCAAGACCACUUCUGUCUGUAAGUUUACCUAAUAAAUCAGCAUUUACUAACAAACUAGAUUUGUUUGCUUCAUUCUUUGGUUUCUUGGCUCCUUAUGCAUCUGGGGGUAACUUUGCUUAUAUGACCCUUACAUGUAACAUCAUAUAAUAAUGUUUUUGAUUCUACAGAUGAAUACAUGAGGGAUAGGUGUGUCUAAGACUAUACAGCUAAUAAGUGAUUGGAAUAAAUAGAAGCAUUGACAUCCUGAGCUGUAAGAUCCUUCCACUUCCUGUCUGGUUCCCUUUGAUCCCAGCCUCUCUGACAUCACUGGAGAAAUGCCAGCCUAUGGAAGACAACCUCUGAGUCUCCUGGUGCCAAAACCAAGAACUUACUUGCAUCUACAUGUAAAUCAGAUUUUCCCUUGGGCAGCAUGGAGCAAAUCCCACUGUGAAAAGGUUUCCUCCGUCUUCCUCUUUGUCAGACUGCAUGCUGAGUCACAGGAUGGACCAGAUGUGUUGGUAUGAGAUGAAGUCAGGCCGGGAGACAAGAUGGCAGGCUGAGAACUGGGGCUGGCCCUUCCUGUGCUGUCCAUUCCGGUGUGGUCCUCCAGCCCUUCUGGAUUGUCAUAAAGGUGAUCGAUCAUUAAAGGAUCCAGCUUCAGAGGGAUGUAGGAGGAAAAACUAGCAUGUAAGAGCCUGCUUCCCCUUGGCCUUCUGCUAUGAUUGUAAGUUUCCUGAGGCCUCCCCAGUCAUGCUUCCUGUACAGCCUGCGGAACUGAUGCAUAAACAUCUUGGUAGACCUUAGGUCCAAGAUAAAAAUUUACAAUGUUGAUGUAAGAUAACGCCGCAUAUCUACAACUAUCUGAUCUUUGACAAACCUGAGAAAAACAAGCAAUGGGGAAAGGAUUCCCUAUUUAAUAAAUGGUGCUGGGAAAACUGGCUAGCCAUAUGUAGAAAGCUGAAAGUGGAUCCCUUCCUUACACCUUAUACAAAAAUUAAUACAAGAGGGAUUAAAGACUUAAACGUUAGACCUAAAACCAUAAAAACCC